Molecule: ribosomal RNA, 497 nt
Filed under: uncultured bacterium
Lineage: Bacteria
Description: partial 16S ribosomal RNA
Rfam family: Bacterial small subunit ribosomal RNA
Source: RNAcentral
GAUGAACGCUGGCGGCGUGCCUAAUACAUGCAAGUCGAGCGAACAGACGAGGAGCUUGCUCCUCUGACGUUAGCGGCGGACGGGUGAGUAACACGUGGAUAACCUACCUAUAAGACUGGGAUAACUUCGGGAAACCGGAGCUAAUACCGGAUAAUAUAUUGAACCGCAUGGUUCAAUAGUGAAAGACGGUUUUGCUGUCACUGAUAGAUGGAUCCGCGCCGCAUUAGCUAGUUGGUAAGGUAACGGCUUACCAAGGCAACGAUGCGUAGCCGACCUGAGAGGGUGAUCGGCCACACUGGAACUGAGACACGGUCCAGACUCCUACGGGAGGCAGCAGUAGGGAAUCUUCCGCAAUGGGCGAAAGCCUGAAGGAGCAACGCCGCGUGAGUGAUGAAGGUCUUCGGAUCGUAAAACUCUGUUAGUAGGGAAGAACAAAUGUGUAAGUAACUAUGCACGUCUUGACGGUACCUAAUCAGAAAGCCACGGCUAACUACGUG